RNAcentral lists this ribosomal RNA (723 nucleotides) under uncultured bacterium. Its description in RNAcentral is "bacterial SSU rRNA". It matches the Rfam family "Bacterial small subunit ribosomal RNA", at positions 590 to 1311 of the family's 1533-position model. The record is from RNAcentral.
UGCUGUGAAAACCCGAGGCUCAACCUCGGGCCUGCAGUGGGUACGGGCAGACUAGAGUGCGGUAGGGGAGAAUGGAAUUCCUGGUGUAGCGGUGGAAUGCGCAGAUAUCAGGAGGAACACCGAUGGCGAAGGCAGUUCUCUGGGCCGUAACUGACGCUGAGGAGCGAAAGCGUGGGGAGCGAACAGGAUUAGAUACCCUGGUAGUCCACGCCGUAAACGUUGGGCGCUAGAUGUGGGGACCAUUCCACGGUUUCCGUGUCGCAGCUAACGCAUUAAGCGCCCCGCCUGGGGAGUACGGCCGCAAGGCUAAAACUCAAAGGAAUUGACGGGGGCCCGCACAAGCGGCGGAGCAUGCGGAUUAAUUCGAUGCAACGCGAAGAACCUUACCAAGGCUUGACAUACACGAGAACGGGCCAGAAAUGGUCAACUCUUUGGACACUCGUGAACAGGUGGUGCAUGGUUGUCGUCAGCUCGUGUCGUGAGAUGUUGGGUUAAGUCCCGCAACGAGCGCAACCCUCGUUCUAUGUUGCCAGCGCGUAAUGGCGGGAACUCAUAGGAGACUGCCGGGGUCAACUCGGAGGAAGGUGGGGAUGACGUCAAAUCAUCAUGCCCCUUAUGUCUUGGGCUUCACGCAUGCUACAAUGGCCGGUACAAAGGGCUGCAAUACCGUAAGGUGGAGCGAAUCCCAAAAAGCCGGUCUCAGUUCGGAUUGAGGUCUGCAAC